This 500-nucleotide ribosomal RNA is filed under the name uncultured bacterium. RNAcentral's name for it is "partial 16S ribosomal RNA". It matches the Rfam family "Bacterial small subunit ribosomal RNA", at positions 30 to 523 of the family's 1533-position model. The record is from RNAcentral.
AUUGAACGCUGGCGGCAUGCCUUACACAUGCAAGUCGAACGGCAGCACGGGAGCAAUCCUGGUGGCGAGUGGCGAACGGGUGAGUAAUAUAUCGGAACGUGCCCAGUCGUGGGGGAUAACGUAGCGAAAGCUACGCUAAUACCGCAUACGAUCUACGGAUGAAAGCGGGGGAUCGCAAGACCUCGCGCGAUUGGAGCGGCCGAUAUCAGAUUAGCGAGUUGGUGAGGUAAAGGCUCACCAAGGCGACGAUCUGUAGCUGGUCUGAGAGGACGACCGGCCACACUGGAACUGCGACACGGUCCAGACUCCUACGGGAGGCAGCAGUGGGGAAUUUUGGACAAUGGGCGCAAGCCUGAUCCAGCAAUGCCGCGUGCAGGAUGAAGGCCUUCGGGUUGUAAACUGCUUUUGUACAGAACGAAACGGUCCUUUCUAAUACAAGGGGCUAAUGACGGUACUGUAAGAAUAAGCACCGGCUAACUACGUGCCAGCAGCCGCGGUAA